UUCAGUUGCCAUCGGGUAAUGCCGGGCGACUCUGGAAGGACUGCCAUCGACAAGAUGGAGGAAGGUGGGGAGUGACGUCAAGUCAUCAUGGCCCUAUGCCAGGGCGACACACGUGCUACAAUGGCCGGCACAACGGGAAGCGAGUUCGCGAGGACGAGCGGAUCCCUCAAAGCCGGUCGCAGUUCGGAUUGAAGUCUGCAACUCGACUUCAUGAAGCUGGAAUCGCUAGUAAUCGUGGAUCAGCCAAGCCGCGGUGAAUACGUUCCCGGGCCUU
RNAcentral lists this ribosomal RNA (274 nucleotides) under uncultured Synergistaceae bacterium. RNAcentral describes it as "partial 16S ribosomal RNA". It matches the Rfam family "Bacterial small subunit ribosomal RNA", at positions 1110 to 1382 of the family's 1533-position model. Lineage: Bacteria; Thermotogati; Synergistota; Synergistia; Synergistales; Synergistaceae. The record is from RNAcentral.